CAGUAGCCGCGGUAAUACGAAGGGUGCAAGCGUUAAUCGGAAUUACUGGGCGUAAAGCGUGCGUAGGCGGUGAGUUAAGUCUGCUGUGAAAUCCCCGGGCUCAACCUGGGAAUGGCAGUGGAUACUGGCUCGCUAGAGUGUGUCAGAGGAUGGUGGAAUUCCCGGUGUAGCGGUGAAAUGCGUAGAGAUCGGGAGGAACAUCAGUGGCGAAGGCGGCCAUCUGGGACAACACUGACGCUGAGGCACGAAAGCGUGGGGAGCAAACAAGAUUAGAUACCCCGGUAGUCCCUGUCUCUUAUAC
Molecule: ribosomal RNA, 301 nt
Filed under: uncultured bacterium
Lineage: Bacteria
Description: partial 16S ribosomal RNA
Rfam family: Bacterial small subunit ribosomal RNA
Source: RNAcentral